GACUCGGGCGGGCGGUGGCCGCGACACAGAGGCCCUUUCAGGCUGCGAGGCCGGGCGGGGCGGGUCUGCGCCCCCGUGGAGCGCCCCGCCUUGGCUCCCUGCACCCUGCUUUUCUCCCGCUGCCCGGGAGGCCCCUGGGCCGCCUGGCUUUGUCCUGUUUUUAAACGCUCUCCUGCGUAAAGCCUGGAAGAAAGAGGCUUCUGUUUGUGGCAUCCCAGUCCACACGUCCACCUUGGCCAGGACCCAGUAUCGGUGGUGCUCAGUAGGUGCCCAGCAUUGACAUUCCCAGAAGGCAAUUUCUACCCUUUUCAAGCUGCCAGAAUCAGAACCCCUUGUCAGUUUCUGGUAUUCGGCUACUGGGCAGUGCCUGAGUGAGGCGUCUUGGUGAGCAGAUGGGCUAACAGAGCUUGGAAACCUUCAUGGGAAAAUAAAACGAUGGUCCAGAAAAGAUUCACCAUGUACGAAAUAAACCCAGUUUGGGCCACUGCGGGUGAACUACAGGUGUACCAAGUACGCGGUAAACUGAGGCAGAUAGCAUCAGUCAGAGGAGAAAGAAUAUGGUUCGAGUCUGGAGAGGAAGUGAGUAUGUCAGGAGCAGAAAAACAGGCAUGCAAAAAUAAAGCAAUGACCCAAAUAUGGGCGUUAAAGCCGGACAAAGCCCGUCGGUGCCAGGGGCUCUAUAUUCAGCGUGCCGUGACUAUUGUCUCUGGUUUAGGUUACACAGUAAUCCAAGCUUCUCCGAGGCUUCUCCCUACCACUGGCAGCCUUUUCAUCCAGGUCCCUCACCAUCUGUCUUCAGGGACCAACCAUCUCCAACCUCCAACCCCCACACCCUACACCCUCCACACCCUCAGCCUCAUAGGCCUAGCUCUGACUUCCAGACUGUCUGCUAUUCAGUCUGCUCCAGGAGCCGUCCUACUGGUUUCUGUAAACUCCCGGCAUCUUGGCUGCUUUUCAACAGCCAGUAGCUGCUGUAUGACAUAGACGCACGAGGUUCUGAGAGCAGGAGGUAGCUGUCUUUCACUGAGAGGCCUCUGGGCUGCCUUUCUAGGGCAGACUGAUCUGCGGCUGGAACAGUUAGACUGGGGUUAUCUUUUUCCCUCUAGUUGGAGCUUCACCACGAUCCUGGCUUCACACACACACAAGGGCACUGUUACUCCCAUGUUACACAACUUGAGGCCUACCUGGGCCCAUGCCCACCCUUAACAGUGUCACCCUGACAGUUUCUCAGAGAUCAGCCCUGACUCAGUAUCCAGAGCUGGAGAACAGGACUAUGUAAUUUAUGCAAAAGAAAAAAAAAAUCCAAGGUUCCUUGUUCAGACAGACGAUUAAGAAUUUUAGGCGGG
This 1346-nucleotide long non-coding RNA is filed under the name Mus musculus (house mouse). Its description in RNAcentral is "long non-coding RNA chr1:86434690-86436036". The record is from RNAcentral. Lineage: Eukaryota; Metazoa; Chordata; Mammalia; Rodentia; Muridae.